GAUGAACGCUGGCGGCGUGCCUAAUACAUGCAAGUCGAGCGAACAGACGAGGAGCUUGCUCCUCUGACGUUAGCGGCGGACGGGUGAGUAACACGUGGAUAACCUACCUAUAAGACUGGGAUAACUUCGGGAAACCGGAGCUAAUACCGGAUAAUAUAUUGAACCGCAUGGUUCAAUAGUGAAAGACGGUUUUGCUGUCACUUAUAGAUGGAUCCGCGCCGCAUUAGCUAGUUGGUAAGGUAACGGCUUACCAAGGCAACGAGGCGUAGCCGACCUGAGAGGGUGAUCGGCCACCUUGGAACUGAGACACGGUCCAGACUCCUACGGGAGGCAGCAGUAGGGAAUCUUCCGCAAUGGGCGAAAGCCUGACGGAGCAACGCCGCGUGAGUGAUGAAGGUCUUCGGAUCGUAAAACUCUGUUAUUAGGGAAGAACAAAUGUGUAAGUAACUAUGCACGUCUUGACGGUACCUAAUCAGAAAGCCACGGCUAACUACGUG
RNAcentral lists this ribosomal RNA (497 nucleotides) under uncultured bacterium. RNAcentral's name for it is "partial 16S ribosomal RNA". It matches the Rfam family "Bacterial small subunit ribosomal RNA", at positions 28 to 507 of the family's 1533-position model. The record is from RNAcentral.